This 528-nucleotide ribosomal RNA is filed under the name uncultured Acidobacteriota bacterium. RNAcentral describes it as "bacterial SSU rRNA". It matches the Rfam family "Bacterial small subunit ribosomal RNA", at positions 8 to 518 of the family's 1533-position model. Lineage: Bacteria; Pseudomonadati; Acidobacteriota. The record is from RNAcentral.
AGAGUUUGAUCCUGGCUCAGAAUCAACGCUGGCGGCGUGCCUAACACAUGCAAGUCGAACGCGAAAGCCCCGCAAGGGGUAAGUAGAGUGGCAAACGGGUGAGUAACACGUGGGUGACCUGCCUUCGAGUGGGGGAUAACGUCCCGAAAGGGACGCUAAUACCGCAUGACAUCCUGCCUUUGAAGAGGCGGAAAUCAAAGCUGGGGAUCGCAAGACCUAGCGCCUGAAGAGGGGCCCGCGCCUGAUUAGCUAGUUGGUGGGGUAACGGCUCACCAAGGCAACGAUCAGUAUCCGGCCUGAGAGGGCGGACGGACACACUGGGACUGAGACACGGCCCAGACUCCUACGGGAGGCAGCAGUGGGGAAUUGUUCGCAAUGGGCGCAAGCCUGACGACGCAACGCCGCGUGGAGGACGAAGAUCUUCGGGUCGUAAACCUCUGUCACUGGGGAAGAACGCUUUGAGUUAAUAGUUCAAAGCCUGACUUAACCCGGAGAGGAAGCAGUGGCUAACUCUGUGCCAGCAGCCGC